UACGGAGGAUGCGAGCGUUAUCCGGAUUUGUUGGGUUUAAAGGGUGCGUAGGCGGGCUUUUAAGUCAGCGGUAAAAAUUCGGGGCUCAACCCCGUCCGGCCGUUGAAACUGGGGGCCUUGAGUGGGCGAGAAGAAGGCGGAAUGCGUGGUGUAGCGGUGAAAUGCAUAGAUAUCACGCAGAACCCCGAUUGCGAAGGCAGCCUUCCGGCGCCCUACUGACGCUGAGGCACGAAAGUGCGGGGAUCGAACAGG
RNAcentral lists this ribosomal RNA (252 nucleotides) under uncultured bacterium. RNAcentral's name for it is "partial 16S ribosomal RNA". It matches the Rfam family "Bacterial small subunit ribosomal RNA", at positions 524 to 776 of the family's 1533-position model. The record is from RNAcentral.